GUGGAUUAGUGGCGAACGGGUGAGUAACACGUGAGUAACCUGCCCUUAACUCUGGGAUAAGCCUGGGAAACUGGGUCUAAUACCGGAUAGGAGCGUCCACCGCAUGGUGGGUGUUGGAAAGAUUUAUCGGUUUUGGAUGGACUCGCGGCCUAUCAGCUUGUUGGUGAGGUAAUGGCUCACCAAGGCGACGACGGGUAGCCGGCCUGAGAGGGUGACCGGCCACACUGGGACUGAGACACGGCCCAGACUCCUACGGGAGGCAGCAGUGGGGAAUAUUGCACAAUGGGCGCAAGCCUGAUGCAGCGACGCCGCGUGAGGGAUGACGGCCUUCGGGUUGUAAACCUCUUUCAGUAGGGAAGAAGCGAAAGUGACGGUACCUGCAGAAGAAGCACCGGCUAACUACGUGCCAGCAGCCGCGGUAAUACGUAGGGUGCGAGCGUUAUCCGGAAUUAUUGGGCGUAAAGAGCUCGUAGGCGGUUUGUCGCGUCUGUCGUGAAAGUCCGGGGCUUAACCCCGGAUCUGCGGUGGGUACGGGCAGACUAGAGUGCAGUAGGGGAGACUGGAAUUCCUGGUGUAGCGGUGGAAUGCGCAGAUAUCAGGAGGAACACCGAUGGCGAAGGCAGGUCUCUGGGCUGUAACUGACGCUGAGGAGCGAAAGCAUGGGGAGCGAACAGGAUUAGAUACCCUGGUAGUCCAUGCCGUAAACGUUGGGCACUAGGUGUGGGGACCAUUCCACGGUUUCCGCGCCGCAGCUAACGCAUUAAGUGCCCCGCCUGGGGAGUACGGCCGCAAGGCUAAAACUCAAAGGAAUUGACGGGGGCCCGCACAAGCGGCGGAGCAUGCGGAUUAAUUCGAUGCAACGCGAAGAACCUUACCAAGGCUUGACAUGUUCUCGAUCGCCGUAGAGAUACGGUUUCCCCUUUGGGGCGGGUUCACAGGUGGUGCAUGGUUGUCGUCAGCUCGUGUCGUGAGAUGUUGGGUUAAGUCCCGCAACGAGCGCAACCCUCGUUCCAUGUUGCCAGCACGUAAUGGUGGGGACUCAUGGGAGACUGCCGGGGUCAACUCGGAGGAAGGUGAGGACGACGUCAAAUCAUCAUGCCCCUUAUGUCUURGGCUUCACGCAUGCUACAAUGGCCGGUACAAUGGGUUGCGAUACUGUGAGGUGGAGCUAAUCCCAAAAAGCCGGUCUCAGUUCGGAUUGGGGUCUGCAACUCGACCCCAUGAA
Molecule: ribosomal RNA, 1225 nt
Filed under: Micrococcus sp.
Lineage: Bacteria; Bacillati; Actinomycetota; Actinomycetes; Micrococcales; Micrococcaceae
Description: bacterial SSU rRNA
Rfam family: Bacterial small subunit ribosomal RNA
Source: RNAcentral